This is a long non-coding RNA of Vicia villosa (hairy vetch), 2145 nucleotides long. RefSeq lists it as uncharacterized. The transcript is spliced from 8 exons. The record is from RefSeq and is a predicted model, not a curated record. NCBI's taxonomy places the organism in Eukaryota, Viridiplantae, Streptophyta, Magnoliopsida, Fabales, Fabaceae.
UCACCUUCUAGUUCGAAGCUUUGGAUUAAUCGAAAUCCUGAGAGUGAUGGUCCUUCUCGGUUUGAAAUUUGGAGCAACAGUUAUCUUGAAAGGGAGUUUCAUGUACCUCAAUCCAAACAUGGUUCUGUGUACACUGAUGGAUGGUAAACUUACUAUCAUCACUACUUCACUUGUCAUUGUUUUCUUUUGUCAUUUGAUUUAUGAUUUGAAUGACUUAUUUGCAGCUUAUAAUAUAAGCCUUAUGCAUAAACUAUUUCUAUAAAUAAAAUGUCAACUAAAGUUAAAUGGUUUUCGUAUAAGCUACAAGUUAUUUUCGUAAGCCAUCUUGGAGAGCUUAUGAAUGUCAACUGAAAAAAGCUUAUUAGUAUAUCAUAAGUUGUGUAUUCAUAAGUUCCUCCAAACAGUCUCACAAGUAUGAGUUAUAAAAGUAGAUAACUGAAAUAAGUCAAUUCAAAUAGGUCGAUAACUGGAAACUUAUAGUUUUGAAUUUUGAUAUGUCACUUGUUUUUACUUGUUUGCGACCUCUGCGGGAGGUAAUACUAAAACACCGCACGAAUCAAAAACCAAUGAAAAUGAGAUCCAGUAAGUUACUUCAGUUUAAUUUCUUUUUUAAAGUGAUUCUGUUUUAUUAAGGUUGGUUAUGUUGAGCUGAAGUAUAAAAGUAUGAUGAUGCAGCUCAAAUGAAAAUGCUCAGGAGCUUAACCUUACUCAAACCAUAAGUAGUGCUUUCCUUCCACGGUUCAGCUCAAUUAUUUGCGUAUGGAUUGGUUGGUGCAUUGGAUUAAGGAAUAGCCUGUUCUGUUUCAGAAUACAGGGCACAACUAUAUGAUUAUCUCAAGAGUAGGAUGAACACCAUAGCACCCAAUUUGACUGCUAUGGUUGGGGAGCUUGUCGGCGCUCGUCUCAUUGCCCAUGGUGGUAGCUUAAUAAAUAUUGCAAAGCAGCCUGGUAGUACUGUGCAGAUUCUCGGUGCUGAGAAGGCUCUUUUUAGGGCACUUAAGACUAAACAUGCUACUCCUAAGUAUGGCCUCAUUUACCAUGCAUCCUUGAUUGGUCAGACAGCUCCAAAGUUCAAGGGCAAAAUUUCUCAAUCACUUGCUGCAAAGACUGCUUUGGUUAUCAGGUGUGAUGCACUUGGAGAUGGGCAAGAUAACACCAUUGGAUUGGAGAACAGAGCCAAGCUUGAAGCACGAUUGAGAGGUCUCGAAGGUAAAGAAUUAGGUCGCUUUGCCGGUUCUGCUAAAGGGAAGCCCAAGAUUGAAGCAUAUGACAAGGAUAGAAAGAAUGGAGGACUGAUAACACCAGCUAAGUCUGUAUGUGCCAAUAUUUUUCUUGAAGUGUUAGAAUGAAGCUCUGUUUUUUCCCGUACAGUGAAACUCGAGGCUUUGCAUUCGUUCAGUUUGUGGAUUCAUAUGAGGCCUCUGAGGCGCAGUACCAUAUGGACAGACAAAUUUUUGCUGGAAGGGAAAUUUCUGUAGUUGUGGCUGUAGAGACAAGAAAAAGGCCAGAGGAGAUGAGGCACAAGACCGGUAGGCCCAGAGGACCAGGGAGCUAUGGGGGGCAAAGGUCUUCCUACCAUGCGUGACAUCAUAUCCGGUUCAAGAUGAUGCCUUGAAGACUGGCGAACUUGACUAUGUCAGUGCAGCUGCACUUGUUUGAUAUUCCAUAGCAGGAAACUUCCUAGGAAUAUCUGAGGUUAAAGUCGUCACCGUCCAUGCCACCAAUAAUUACUUUGUGACUGCAUCACUUGACGGCACUUGUCAGACCCAGGUCUGUUUUCAGACACUUGUCUGACUCAGUUUCAUGCAUGUAUGAGUCUAGAUAGUUUAGCUGGAAAUGUCAUGCAAGAAACAGUUCAUGUAACAGUACCUAGUUUCCACUUGUCUGACUUAGCCUAACCCCAGGGGACUGGGUGUUAACAGUCCGUUUGUUUGUUUGGGGUGAAUUAAGAACGAGAGAAAUGUAAGCGAGAGAGGUACAUGAGAAAUGCAUGAUUUCUCUUGCUUGGCACAUCAAAGAAAUAGAGGCGACUGAUUAAAUAUGGUGGGCCCCAUUCACUUUUUCUUUCUCUUCACAUGUGAGAAGAAACGGAAACUACAGCUAUUAUUUGAAUUAUAUUUCUACAUAUACCCUUUCUCUCAUGCA